UGUUGACUCCCUCCUUCUCUGCUCCAUCAGUCGGCUGGGCUCUGGGCUGUUGACUCUCUCCUUCCCUCCUUCCUGCUCCAUCAGUCGGCUGGGCUCUGGGCUGUUGACUCUCUCCUUCCCUCCUUCCUGCUCCAUCAGUCGGCUGGGCUCUGGGCUGUUGACUCUCUCCUUCCUCCUUCUCUGCUCCAUCAGUCGGCUGGGCUCUGGGCUGUUGACUCUCUCCUUCCCUCCUUCCUGCUCCAUCAGUCGGCUGGGCUCUGGGCUGUUGACUCUCUCCUUCCCUCCUUCCUGCUCCAUCAGUCGGCUGGGCUCUGGGCUGUUGACUCUCUCCUUCCCUCCUUCCUGCUCCAUCAGUCGGCUGGGCUCUGGGCUGUUGACUCUCUCCUUCCCUCCUUCUCUGCUCCAUCAGUCGGCUGGGCUCUGGGCUGUUGACUCCCUCCUUCCCUCCUUCCUGCUCCUCGGCUGGGCUCUGGGCUGUUGACUCUCUCCUUCCCUCCUUCCUGCUCCAUCAGUCGGCUGGGCUCUGGGCUGUUGACUCUCUCCUUCCCUCCUUCUCUGCUCCAUCAGUCGGCUGGGCUCUGGGCUGUUGACUCUCUCCUUCCCUCCUUCCUGCUCCAUCAGUCGGCUGGGCUCUGGGCUGUUGACUCCUCCUCCUUCCCACCUUCCUGCACCGUCAGUCGGCUGGGCUCUGGGCUGUUGACUCCCUCCUUCCCUCCUUCCCUGCUCCAUCAGUCGGCUGGGCUCUGGGCUGUUGACUCCCUCCUUCCCUCCUUCCUGCUCCAUCACUCGGCUCUGGGCUGUUGACUCCCUCCUUCCCUGCUCCAUCAGUCGGCUGGGCUCUGGGCUGUUGACUCCCUCCUUCCCUCCUGUCCUUGGAGGAGGUCCAGUGUUGCCG
Molecule: long non-coding RNA, 895 nt
Organism: Oncorhynchus tshawytscha (Chinook salmon)
Lineage: Eukaryota; Metazoa; Chordata; Actinopteri; Salmoniformes; Salmonidae
Source: Ensembl